AGACGCGGCAAGGCGGCCGCGGGCGCCGGAUGUUCCGGCGUCUGAGGAAAGUCCGAGCACGAAAGGACACGCUGGUGGGUAACGCCCACCCGAUCGGCGACGGAGCAAUUCGGAGCCCGGUCGAGGGAAAGUGCCACAGAGAUUGAACCGCCGAUGGCCGCUCUCGCUCGUCGAGAGCGGAUCAGGCAAGGGUGAAAAGGUGCGGUAAGAGCGCACCGGCCGGCUCGUGAGGGCCGGCGCAUGGCAAACCCCAGCGCGUGCAAGGUCACGCAGUUCCCGCUUCCGAAAGGAAGGCGUUCUGUCCGGACGCGAGGCAACUCCGGAAACGGGUGGACCGCUCGAGCCACGCGGCAACGCGCGGCCCAGAGAAAUGGUCGCCACGGCCAGAAGGUGCGCUGGGCUCCCGUCAAGGAUCGAGCGCAAACCACCGGCCGGACAGAACUCGGCUUACCGCCGCGUCGGGCC
This 465-nucleotide RNase P RNA is filed under the name Phycisphaeraceae bacterium. RNAcentral's name for it is "RNase P RNA component class A". It matches the Rfam family "Bacterial RNase P class A". Rfam says of the family: Ribonuclease P (RNase P) is a ubiquitous endoribonuclease, found in archaea, bacteria and eukarya as well as chloroplasts and mitochondria. Its best characterised activity is the generation of mature 5'-ends of tRNAs by cleaving the 5'-leader elements of precursor-tRNAs. Lineage: Bacteria; Pseudomonadati; Planctomycetota; Phycisphaerae; Phycisphaerales; Phycisphaeraceae. The record is from RNAcentral.